ACUCAAAGGAAUUGACGGGGGCCCGCACAAGCGGAGGAGCAUGUGGCUUAAUUCGAUGCAACGCGAAGAACCUUACCCAGACUCGACUUGUGACUGCACGGCCUGUGAAAGCAGGCUUCCUUCGAGGGUGUCACACAGGUGCUGCAUGGCUGUCGUCAGUUCGUGCCGUGAGGUGUUCGGUUAAGUCCGUCAACGAACGCAACCCCUGCCGUUAUUUGCCAACGGGUAAUGCCGGGAACUCUAACGGGACCGCCCCUUCAAACGGGAGGAAGGGGGGGAUGAUGUCAAGUCAGCAUGGCCCUUACGUCUGGGGCCGCACACGUGCUACAAUGGCCGGUACAGAAGGAUGCGAAACCGCGAGGUGGAGCAAACCCCUUAAAACCGGCCUCAGUUCGGAUUGGAGUCUGCAACCCGACUCCAUGAAGUUGGAUUCGCUAGUAACGGCGUAUCAGCAUUUGACGCCGUGAAUACGUUCCCGGGCCUUGCACACACCGCCCGU
This 499-nucleotide ribosomal RNA is filed under the name uncultured bacterium. RNAcentral's name for it is "bacterial SSU rRNA". It matches the Rfam family "Bacterial small subunit ribosomal RNA", at positions 899 to 1397 of the family's 1533-position model. The record is from RNAcentral.